RNAcentral lists this long non-coding RNA (224 nucleotides) under Capsicum annuum. RNAcentral describes it as "long non-coding RNA (CANN_LNC016516)". The record is from RNAcentral. Lineage: Eukaryota; Viridiplantae; Streptophyta; Magnoliopsida; Solanales; Solanaceae.
AAUGUGAACAACCUUGGCUUGAUGACAUAUGUGAUAGUUUCGGAUUGCACUCCUUUUUCCUUGAUGUUUAUCUUAGCCAUGUCCUUUGUAAUGCUUGUGGUAUGUGUUUCAUGAUCAUAACAAGGGAUUGUUGGUUGUAUUCCAAAAGUGUACCCCCUUGGCAUGUCUAUAUAAUUUGUGGUACUAAUGCUAACCCUCCUAUCAUGAGGAUUGUGUGCUUGUUU